UGGGGGAUCUUGCGCUAAUGCGCGAAAGCGUGACGCAGCGACGCCGCGUGGGGGAUGAAGGCCCUCGGGUUGUAAACCCCUUUCGGCAGGGACGAAGCGAAAGUGACGGUACCUGCAGAAGAAGUCCCGGCUAACUACGUGCCAGCAGCCGCGGUAACACGUAGGGGACGAGCGUUGUCCGGAUUCAUUGGGCGUAAAGCGCGCGUAGGCGGCUCGGAAAGUCGGUCGUGAAAGGCUGGGGCUCAACCCCAGGACUGCGUCCGAUACUUCCGGGCUGGAGGUAGGUAGGGGGAGAUCGGAAUUCCUGGUGUAGCGGUGAAAUGCGCAGAUAUCAGGAGGAACACCGGUGGCGAAGGCGGAUCUCUGGGCCUUACCUGACGCUGAGGCGCGAAAGCUAGGGGGAGCGAACAGGAUUAGAUACCCUGGUAGUCCUAGCCGUAAACGUUGGGUGCUAGGUGUGGGCGGACAUCGACCCCGUCCGUGCCGAAGCUAACGCAUUAAGCACCCCGCCUGGGGAGUACGGCCG
RNAcentral lists this ribosomal RNA (526 nucleotides) under uncultured Actinomycetes bacterium. Its description in RNAcentral is "bacterial SSU rRNA". It matches the Rfam family "Bacterial small subunit ribosomal RNA", at positions 355 to 888 of the family's 1533-position model. The record is from RNAcentral. Lineage: Bacteria; Bacillati; Actinomycetota; Actinomycetes.